This 154-nucleotide non-coding RNA is filed under the name uncultured Kurthia sp. RNAcentral describes it as "Lysine riboswitch". It matches the Rfam family "Lysine riboswitch aptamer", at positions 5 to 158 of the family's 182-position model. From Rfam's summary of the family: Riboswitches are metabolite binding domains within certain messenger RNAs that serve as precision sensors for their corresponding targets. Allosteric rearrangement of mRNA structure is mediated by ligand binding, and this results in modulation of gene expression. This family includes riboswitches that sense lysine in a number of genes involved in lysine metabolism, including lysC. Lineage: Bacteria; Bacillati; Bacillota; Bacilli; Caryophanales; Caryophanaceae. The record is from RNAcentral.
GAGGUAGAGGCGCGAUAAGUCAAGAUACAAUCGAUGAGCUAGAGAAGAGUUAUGAAACGAUUGAUGAGGGACUAUCGCCGAAGUGCAUGACGAUUUCUCAACAUCAUGUGCUGGGUCUGCAGUGAACAAUUGCAGGACUGUCUCGCUUGAGUUU